UACACAUUCUGUGGUGUAGUUGGUAGCACAAUGGCUUAGUAAAUAUAAGUCCCUGGUUCAAGUCCCAGUCGGGGUAA
Molecule: non-coding RNA, 77 nt
Organism: Halocaridina rubra (Hawaiian volcano shrimp)
Lineage: Eukaryota; Metazoa; Arthropoda; Malacostraca; Decapoda; Atyidae
Source: the annotation of a GenBank genome assembly